This is an RNA transcript of Micropterus dolomieu (smallmouth bass), 5329 nucleotides long. It is a transcript of the gene named linkage group 09 C6orf47 homolog, with no coding region annotated. Lineage: Eukaryota; Metazoa; Chordata; Actinopteri; Centrarchiformes; Centrarchidae. The record is from RefSeq and is a predicted model, not a curated record. The transcript is spliced from 4 exons.
GAAACAGAAGCGGUAGUCCGUUGUCUUUGUCUCGUGAGUUGGUGACGUGAACCGUCUCGGUGUACCUGGCAGGAGGAGCGUCCGCUUGUGUUUUUGCUGGAUAACAAUAACAUUACCUUCAGUGGUAGCUUCCGCGAGUAAGCUUUGGAUGGAGCUGAUUUUAUACUGACAUAAACACGUUGGUGUGAGACAGUUCUCUAUCCAGAGGUUUAGGAACUCGGUCUGUCGAGUUAUUUGAUGCUAAUACGGAGAGCUAGCUGUGUCUGACAGGCACACUCAAGCUAAUGUCGAUGAAGGCAUGAGGAGAGGCGCAGUGUGUUUCUGGAGACGCUGAAAAAAGUUUAUUGAGCAGUAACUUUAGAGUUAGAUGACUGACGUCACAAGCCUUGGCCAACUCAACUUAUUCACAUAGUAGCUAGCCGGUGCUAACUUGCUUAUUAAGCAUAUUUGAUGGUAAUGCUGAGUUAAGACACAUAGAAGAGAAGCUUAUAAAUGCCAAUAAGGGCACUGUAAGUCAUUGAAGGAGGGGGGGGGUCACCCCUUGUUUCUGUUUACUGCUCAAACACACCCACAGGUGUGUCUAUGGUUUGAGGACGUCAUUUUGCCCAGACCCGAGUCCUUGCGAACAAGUAUUACAACUUCCCAACUAAACUGGCAGCACAUGCCUGCUUUUCCAGUUAGCUCUCAGGGCUGCCUGGCCAACUGAAGCAAGAGGAGCUGAGAACUGAAUGUCUGCUGGUUUUAAUUCAAUUCCAACAAGCUCGGCGAGGAAGCAUGACAGCUGUCGUAGGCAGAGCAUGGGGGUGGGUGCGCUCAUGGGCCAGCAGUGCCGUCUCAGAAAAUACCACAACAGUGAUAGCUGAGGGCCAGAAGCAUGGCUGUGGCAGCCAGGGCGUCAGGGGCUGGACCUCCUGGAUCUGGGGCGGACGGAAAUGUCAAAGUGACCAAAGUAGUUCAGUAGAGGAGUACUGGGAGGCACAGGAGAAGCUUCAGCCCAUGGAAAUCGAAGAUCUCAGCGCAGUGAAACCAGAGACAAUGACAAAAUCACAGCAUGUUUAUAGAUGGUGGAAUAAAUAUCUCCCAACCUCUUACCUUUUGUGGCCGAGGAAAACGGAGCCAAGCAGACAAAGGGGAAGGCGGCGUUACGGUCAGAGUGCAGAUGUGUGGGACCGUGAUAUUGAUGAAGACUUUUCUGACUACGGAACGCCUCCUCCAUCUCCUACACCUCCUUCCUCUCAGCUGACAUCUCCUUUCCGACUGUUUGUAAACAGCUGGAAGGUUGAAAUCCUACCAGAACACCACGAGAUCUGUUUCAACUUCCUCCGCCACUUGUUCGACCUGUUUGUCGUUGGCUUCCUGUGGACUGUGUCCCCCCCUGCCAAACUGAUCCUGGAGGUGUUGGGGGUCCAGGGAGCUCUAAGGCUGUGGUUUCAUGGUAUGGCCAUGUUUUUUGUCUCCACAGUUGGAAUGGCAGGAUUACUUUGGUUAAUCCAGGAGUAUCUCCCUCAGUUUGCGCUGAUCUAUGGCAUCAUACAGGCAGUGGUGAUCUCUGUCAGUGUUCGGCAGAGUGUGAUCCUCGGCGUAGAGGAAGAAAAAGCAGAAAAGGAUGUGGAGGCCAAGGAGCCUGAUGAAAUGAAAGACAGUAGGGAACAUAAAGAAGCUUGUGUCCGUAAAAGACAAGCUGAAGACAAGUUAAACUUAAGUAACACAGUGAACUGCUCCAACCAGGCCUGACAGGCCAAGAAACACAAGCAGUGGGAUGAUCAGACAGGUUGGAAACCAACCGAGGUUUGGUGAGUCCAAAACAACGUGGAGAAAGACAUCAACUGCCCUGGUACUCUCUCCUGUAGUUUAAUGGUGAGAAGCAGCUGUCUGUUCAGGAGUCCACCAUCAUCAUCAGUCCACCUGUAUCCUCGAGUGUUUGACAUCACAGCAGUGGGACUACACAGAGAUUGUUGCCUGCACCACUGUGUUCUGCCGUGUAACUUAAGAAUUGUGUUGCACGCUCAUUACAGACUCAUAGAAGUUGUACUUGUGUCACUUUAUGUUCAACACUAAUGAUCUGCAUUUUAAAGAUGUUUGUCCUCACGCAGAAUGUUGACAUCGAUAGCCGUGCAAAGUUUAGUAUCACAAAGUCUCCCGCUCUAAUCGAGGUCAGGAAAGAAAGGGACCAAGAAUGUUCAAGAAAUGCCUUUAACUCAAGGAAGAGUUUUUCUGAGUUUAAACUUGUUUUCCACAGAGCCCCUGAAGUCCCAUAAGAUUAUAUUUUUUAUCUUGUGGGAACAAGAUAAUAACUUGCACAUGAUAAAAAUAAAAAAAAAAUCAUCUUAUGGGUCUUCUGGGGAUCUGUAGAUUUCUUAUGAUUCACCAGGGGACCAGGUGAUUGCCUUUGGUGCAUUCCAAAAAUACACAGCCUGAAUUAGUAGAAAUGUUAGGCAUCACCACCAGGAGGACAGAAAAGGCAACCCGAUACAAACCAUGGCAUUAAAUUGUAUGGUUAAACAGGUAAAAAGUUUUAUUUGAUUGAAAGAAGCAGGGUUUGAGGACAGGAGCCUUCAGAGCCUCACACGUUCACAGACAAAUCUGAGUACUACAAAAAAUAUCAGUUCCCCUGACAGUCAGGCUAGAAGGGAGGAAGAAAUGACCUGUUCUGAAGCUGGAAUUUGAGUUUUGAGUUUUCACCUAAGGUACAUGUUUCUCAUUACAUGUCUCCCCUGCAAAUAUGAACCCAUCUUUAAGUGAAGCUCAUAUGACAAAUUCAAGCAUGCGUUUCCUGUUCUGGUGCAAACUCUAGCUGACUCCGGUAGACUGCUUGAAUUUGUUCAUUGUUCAGCUUUGACCACUAGAAUCUGUCCCACUGUUUGGAAAAGGACAAGCAGUUAUUCUGUGUCCUUACCUAGUUUUGUUGAAUAGUACACUCCUGGACUACAGACUGCAACAUCAUCGUGUUUAACAGCCUGUGGUCACACUGCUUAAUAUUUAUUUACUUCUCACAUCAGACCUGUGACCUCACAUUCAUGUGCAGUGUCAUUUUGUUGAACAGAAGGCUAAUGUGAAUGUGCCUUUGCUGGAGUGAAAAAACAAAUUUGGUCAACAGAGAGGAAGUAGCAACCACCAAUGCUCUCUUAUAGGUUUAGACGCCUGUCAAUCAAGCACACACGGACAUUACUAAAUAUACUGUAUGAAAGCCAUAAGCUCUCCUUUACUCUUUAACCUCAAAUUGUGAUUCUUCAAAAUAAAAUGUGUGUUUUCAGACACAAAACUAAUUGAAUGGAUUUCAAUGGGGAUUUUUUUGUUGUCUCGGAACAAGCACCUAAUAGCCGCAGAGAAAGUGGCUUCAGUACUCGGCUGUGAUGGAUACUAUAAAUCAUCUGUUUUGUACUUUAUAUAUUUUCACACAUUGAACUGAAAAAGGAGUGUGCCUGGAAUGACCUGUGGAAGAGGCAUUUCCUGAAGACCUUAACACAUGCUGUACAUGGAUUACGUUACAUUGAGAUUUCUCAAAUAUGAACUGAAGAACAUGGCAACAAGAUGUAUCUGUUUAGAGAAGUGUUGACACUACCAGCAGCACGUUUUAGUGUGUUCACUGUACACACUUGUUUUUUUUGCCUGAUGUCAUUUUCUGUGCCAUGAUGUUGCUUGUUUAAAACUUUACUGGAUGUAGGCCUCACGUAUUUUAAUGGAUUUUUACUUGUCUUGCUUUAGAUGAAAUACCAACAUCUAAUUUGGUUUUAGUGCACAAUAGCAUGUUUUGCACUCAACACUCCUUACUUGUAUUACAGUCCGUACGAUGUGGAAGCCUGUGGCUGAUCAUAGAAAUGGAAGUCAUUUUAUUUAACAAAAAUUUUAGAAUACAAACAUUCAAAUCUAGUGUUCAUAAAUAUGUGUAACUACUGCAAAAUUAGAAUACAAACUUGAGUGACAAGCCAUUUGUGUAACACUGCCACAGUGACCUGAAAUUGAAUGUAAAAUCUCAGUGUCGUUUUCAAAUUGCCACACGGCAACCUAAACGUGAUAGAUUUUUAAACUGUUUAGAGCUGAAACAAUCAGUUGAUUGCAGAAAAUGAAUCUUGAUUAUUUUAUGUUUGAUUGUUGAGCCAAACAUUGCCUAGUUUCAGCUUUUCAGUUGUGAGUUUGCUGCAUUUCUUUGUUUUAUGUGAUAGUAAGUUAACUAUCUUUGGGUUUUGAAUCGUGUGGCAAAGCAAGCCAUUGUGAAAAUGACACCUUGGGGUUUAGGAAAUUGUGAUGGGCAUAUUUCUGUAUUUUUUGACAUCUUAUAGAUAAUAAAAUAAUUGGCAGAUAAAUCCAUAAUCAAAAAUGUUAUUUGCAACCCUAUAUCAAUUGAAAUAUUCUUUUGAUAUAUAUUGUGACUAAUUAAAUGAAAUGUAAUAGUGUUUUUUAUGGCCAAUUUAUAAUAGUUGAGUCUAACAGAUUUCAUAGAAGAGGCCUGUAAGCUUCCAUCUUUUAAUUUCAUUAGUAACAAGCUGAAAGUCCAAAGUGCACUUUGAUUUUCAAGUUUAGGUUUCACAUUAUCUGUCAAUUUUAUUUUCAAUUUCAUUUUUAUUGUGAUGUUAUGCUAAGGAGUAAACUGAACAUUUUGUCAUUUGUUCUUCCUAAUUUUGUAAGAAUUUGUGAAUUUCCAAACAUUAAAAUUAGAUUUUGAAAUUGUAAUUAAAAGAUUUUAUGGAAAACUACAUUUUAAUUUGAUUAGAAGGUUUCAUUUUAAUAUGAGCAGCUAGAGACUUCCAUUGUGAGAAUCCUCAACUUGGGCUUUUUUAUAUUGCACCAAAUUUCUAUUAACAAUCAUUCCCAAGGAGGUGAUACAAUGUAUACAACUCUCUGUUGCCUUUAUUCAUUUGCUUAUGUGGAUCUUUUAUCGCAGUAUAUUAAUGCGGUAAUCCCUUGUAAAUAAAGCUAUUUUUAUAUGAGCAGUAAACACACCUAACAAGUGCAGGAUCACUGGAGCUGAAGAAACUGGCUUGUUUCCUUUAAUACCCCUGGUGUCAUUUUAAAUAAAGGAAGGCAGUAUCUGCUGUGACCCAUUACUGUACAUCUAAUUUAUAGCCACUUUGAACCCAACACUACACUGAGGUUAACUGAUUCUACUGGCGUAAAUAAAACUGAUGGUCUUUUAUUAAAUUUUCUUGGUUUUGAUUUCCUACGCGUUGUUUUUAAAAUCCAACAUAAAAUGAAACAAAUGCAGUUAUGGUAUGUUGAUUAUGCUGGACUGAAUUUUUCAGCAGAGAGUAUAAAAUGAUCUAGCCGAAGAGUCCUGGUUUUGCAUGUUGUUGUAAAUUUCAGAGAUUACAUAAAGUCAUUUUUGAACGUG